Molecule: transfer RNA, 74 nt
Filed under: Sepiadarium kochi
Lineage: Eukaryota; Metazoa; Mollusca; Cephalopoda; Sepiida; Sepiadariidae
Description: tRNA-Met
Rfam family: tRNA
About the family: Transfer RNA (tRNA) molecules are approximately 80 nucleotides in length.
Source: RNAcentral
GAUAAAGUAAGCUAAAUUAUUAAGCUGUUGGGUUCAUACCCCAAAAAUGAAUGUAGGUAAAAUUUCCUUUAUUA